This 403-nucleotide long non-coding RNA is filed under the name Homo sapiens (human). Its description in RNAcentral is "non-protein coding lnc-LZTS1-4:1". The record is from RNAcentral. Lineage: Eukaryota; Metazoa; Chordata; Mammalia; Primates; Hominidae.
CCGACCGCCAGACAAUGCCACUGCAUGGAGUGGCUGCUGGGCCUCUACUUCCUCAGCCACAACCCCAUCAUCCUGUUCAUGGACCUGUAGGCGGUGCUGCCGUGCGAACUCUACCCAGUACAGUUUAGAAAUCUGCUGAAGUGCUAUGCUAAGGGGUUCAAAGGCCCGCUGCUACAGGAGCCACCAGUUUGGUUUAAGUCCUUUCUGUUUUGCGAGCUUAUGUUUCAGGUGCCUUUCUUUCCCAUUGCAACCUAUGCCUUCCUCAAAGGAAGCUGCAACUGGAUUCGAACCCCUGCAAAUCAUCUACUCAGUUCACACCAUGAUAACUUUAAUUCCACUACUCUCCACAUUUCUGUUGGAGGAUUUCUCCAAAGCCAGUGGUUUCAAAGGAUAAAGACCUGAG